Molecule: ribosomal RNA, 1349 nt
Filed under: uncultured bacterium
Lineage: Bacteria
Description: bacterial SSU rRNA
Rfam family: Bacterial small subunit ribosomal RNA
Source: RNAcentral
GACGAACGCUGGCGGCGCGCCUAACACAUGCAAGUCGAGCGAUGAAAUUUCGACAGAUCUCCUUCUGGGGUGAAGAUGAAAUGGAUUAGCGGCGGACGGGUGAGUAACACGUGAGUAACCUGCCUUUGACAUUGGGAUAGCCUCGGGAAACUGGGAUUAAUACCAAAUGACACUAACUGAUCACAUGAUUAAUUAGUCCAAGAAAUUCGGUCAAAGAUGGACUCGCGGCUGAUUAGCUUGUUGGUGAGGUAACGGCCCACCAAGGCGACGAUUAGUAGCCGGCCUGAGAGGGUGAUCGGCCACAUUGGAACUGAGACACGGUCCAAACUUCUACGGGAGGCAGCAGUGGGGAAUAUUGCACAAUGGGGGAAACCCUGAUGCAGCGACGCCGCGUGAGCGAAGAAAGCCUUUGGGUCGUAAAGCUCUUUUUUGAGGGAAGAUUAUGACUGUUCCUCUAGAAAAAGCCCCGGCUAACUACGUGCCAGCAGCCGCGGUAAUUCGUAGGGGGCUUGCGUUGUCCGGAAUUACUUGGCGUUAAGGGUUCGCAGCGGAAUAACAAGUCAGAUGUGAAAGGCAUGGGCUCAACUCAUGUAAGCAUUUGAAACUGUAAUUCUUGAGAAGUGGAGAGGUAAGUGGAAUUCCUAGUGUAGCGGUGAAAUGCGUAGAUAUUAGGAGGAAUACCUGUGGCGAAGGCGACUUACUGGACACAAAUCUGACGCUGAGGAACGAAAGCGUGGGUAGCAAACAGGAUUAGAUACCCUGGUAGUCCACGCCGUAAACGAUGAGUGCUAGGUGUCGGGGGAGACCUCGGUGCCGGCGUUAACACAAUAAGCACUCCGCCUGGGGAGUACGUGCGCAAGCAUGAAACUCAAAGGAAUUGACGGGGACCCGCACAAGCAGCGGAGCAUGUGGUUUAAUUCGACGCAACGCGAAGAACCUUACCAGGGCUUGACAUACUGAGGGCGUACUUAGAGAUAAGUAUUCUCCUUCGGGAGCCUCAAUACAGGUGGUGCAUGGUUGUCGUCAGCUCGUGUCGUGGGAUGUUCAGUUAAGUCUGGCAACGAGCGCAACCCUUACCUUUAGUUACCAGCAUUACGGAUGGGGACUCUAAAGGGACUGCCGAUGAUAAAUCGGAGGAAGGUGGGGAUGACGUCAAAUCAUCAUGCCCUAUAUGCCCUGGGCUACACACGUGCUACAAUGGUCGGAACAGAGGGAAGCAACAGAGCGAUCUCAAGCAAAUCUCAUAAAUCCGAUCCUAGUUCGGAUUGCACUCUGCAACUCGAGUGCAUGAAGUCGGAGUUGCUAGUAAUCGCAGAUCAGCAUGCUGCGGUGAAUGCGUUCCCGGGUCU